This is a long non-coding RNA of Metopolophium dirhodum (rose-grain aphid), 271 nucleotides long. RefSeq lists it as uncharacterized. The record is from RefSeq and is a predicted model, not a curated record. The transcript has 3 exons. NCBI's taxonomy places the organism in Eukaryota, Metazoa, Arthropoda, Insecta, Hemiptera, Aphididae.
UACAGUAUAUAAGGCUAGUGUAUUAACAGCAAUAUUACAGUCAACAUUCAGCAACUAGAACUUCUUCAUCAUCUAUAACAAUUCAGCUUCAAGAUGUCUUACAGAACUUCGAUCAUCGAUUCCGGAUCAGAGAACGAAUUUGAGUCCCUGGACACAAAAAAGCCUUCUACUUCAAAGCAGGUCAAAACAUCGUUAAAAAGAGGGGCUGAAAAAACAGUAGACAAAAAAAACAAAAAAAAACAGAUGAAAACAAGUUCAUCAUACAGAGAAA